UGUGUGCCUGAACACUAAGGAGGCGAUUGACAAAGAUAAGUGGUAUCUUGACAGUGGAUGCUCUAACCACCUUACCCAUGACAAGAGUAAGUUGUUGUCUUAUAAACCUGAAAGAGGCAGCAUGAAAAUAUCGGUAGCAAACGGUGAGAAAUUACAAGUAAAAGGACGGGGGAACGCUGAGCCCCAAGUCAGCGAGAACGAAAAAUUAAAUUUAGAAAACGUUAUGCAUGUUCCCGAUUUGUCCAUGAAUUUAAUUUCGGUAAGCGACUUAACCAAGAAGAAAUGUAAAGUUAUAUUCGACGAAAAAGGUUGCGUAAUUCAAAAGAAGAACCGAACUAUUGCAAGUUGUAAAGAGGUCGAUGGCAUUUACGAGUUGACAGAAAAGAAAAACAACGUCGUGUAUUUGACACUGUCAAAACAAAAUGAAAACAUUUCUAACGUUUGGCAUAAGCGCUUGGCCCAUUUAUCCCGAAAUUAUAUGUUGAAAAUGAAAAACAUCGUGACCGGUAUGCAAUUUAAGAGCACAGAUUUGUGCGAACCAUGUAUUCCCUGCAUUGAAGGAAAGACGUGCAAGAGUCCCUUUAAAAACAAAGGUACGAGAGCCACGGAUGUUCUGCAAAUCGUUCAUACUGAUUUAUGCGGACCCAUGGAAGAGCCGUCGUUCGGAGGUUCGAGUCUGCAGGAAUAAAACACCAGACGACUGUACCCUACACGCCUGA
Long non-coding RNA from Cydia splendana, 719 nucleotides. RefSeq lists it as uncharacterized. The transcript has 2 exons. The record is from RefSeq and is a predicted model, not a curated record. Lineage: Eukaryota; Metazoa; Arthropoda; Insecta; Lepidoptera; Tortricidae.